Molecule: small RNA, 77 nt
Filed under: Xanthomonas vesicatoria
Lineage: Bacteria; Pseudomonadati; Pseudomonadota; Gammaproteobacteria; Lysobacterales; Lysobacteraceae
Also listed under: 1 other name
Description: sX9
Rfam family: Xanthomonas sRNA sX9
Source: RNAcentral
AUGUACCACUCGCACAUUCCGGUUCUGAGCGCGCCGCCAGCACUCACCUGACGAUCGCGCGCUACGUUUUGGUAGCC